CCUACGGGGGGCUGCAGUAGGGAAUCUUCCGCAAUGGACGAAAGUCUGACGGAGCAACGCCGCGUGAGCGAUGAAGGCCUUCGGGUCGUAAAGCUCUGUUGUCAGGGAAGAACAAGUGCGGGAGUAACUGCCCGCACCUUGACGGUACCUGACCAGAAAGCCACGGCUAACUACGUGCCAGCAGCCGCGGUAAUACGUAGGUGGCAAGCGUUGUCCGGAAUUAUUGGGCGUAAAGCGCGCGCAGGCGGUCCCUUAAGUCUGAUGUGAAAUCUUGCGGCUCAACCGCAAGCGGUCAUUGGAAACUGGGAGACUUGAGUGCAGAAGAGGAAAGCGGAAUUCCACGUGUAGCGGUGAAAUGCGUAGAUAUUAGGAGGAACACCAGUGGCGAAGGCGGCUCUCUGGACUGCAACUGACGCUGAGGCACGAAAGCGUGGGGAGCGAACAGGAUUAGAUACCCCAGUAGUC
Molecule: ribosomal RNA, 465 nt
Filed under: uncultured bacterium
Lineage: Bacteria
Description: bacterial SSU rRNA
Rfam family: Bacterial small subunit ribosomal RNA
Source: RNAcentral